Molecule: ribosomal RNA, 482 nt
Filed under: Fragum loochooanum
Lineage: Eukaryota; Metazoa; Mollusca; Bivalvia; Cardiida; Cardiidae
Description: partial 16S ribosomal RNA
Rfam family: Bacterial large subunit ribosomal RNA
Source: RNAcentral
UCAAAAACAUCUCUUCUAGUUGGUAUUAGAAGUAGUCCCUGCCCGGUGUCCAAGAUUGGAUAAACGGCGGUGUUAAACCUUAAAGUAGCGUAAUUAGUUGCCCUUUAAUUGGGGGCUAGUAUGAAUGGGUUGACGAUGGGGGGGCUGUCUCCGGGAGAGUUAUUGAAAUUUUCCUCCUAGUGAAAAGCCUGGGAUGAUGUUGAAAGACGAGAAGACCCCAUCGAGCUUGAAUAAGGUGUUUUCUUUUUGCAGGCUCCCUGCAAAAUUUUGUUGGGGCAACAGGGGAGAAAUAAAACCUCUCCAUUUAUAAGAUAAAGAUCCAUAUUUUAUGAUAAAGAGAAAAAGUUACCGUGGGGAUAACAGCGUAAAACUGCCCGGGAGGCCUUAUCUAAGGCAGUGAGUGCGACCUCGAUGUUGGCUUAGGGUUGACUUUUUGGUGCAGCAGCUAAAUUAGUGGGACUGUUCGUCCUUUAAUACCCUUA